This 915-nucleotide ribosomal RNA is filed under the name uncultured archaeon. RNAcentral describes it as "bacterial SSU rRNA". It matches the Rfam family "Archaeal small subunit ribosomal RNA", at positions 1 to 919 of the family's 1478-position model. The record is from RNAcentral.
UUCCGGUUGAUCCCGCCAGAGGUUACUGCUAUCGGUGUUCGCCUAAGCCAUGCGAGUCAUAUGUAGCAAUACAUGGCGUACUGCUCAGUAACACGUGGAUAACCUGCCCUUGGGACCGGCAUAACCCCGGGAAACUGGGGAUAAUUCCGGAUAACGCAUAUUUGCUGGAAUGCUUUAUGCGUCAAAAGGAUUCGUCUGCCCAAGGAUGGGUCUGCGGCCUAUCAGGUAGUAGUGGGUGUAAUGUACCUACUAGCCAGCGACGGGUACGGGUUGUGAGAGCAAGAGCCCGGAGAUGGAUUCUGAGACAUGAAUCCAGGCCCUACGGGGCGCAGCAGGCGCGAAAACUUUACAAUGCGGGAAACCGUGAUAAGGGGACACCGAGUGCCAGCAUCAUAUGCUGGCUGUCCGGAUGUGUAAAAUACAUCCGUUAGCAAGGGCCGGGCAAGACCGGUGCCAGCCGCCGCGGUAACACCGGCGGCCCGAGUGGUGAUCGUGAUUAUUGGGUCUAAAGGGUCCGUAGCCGGUUUGGUCAGUCCUCCGGGAAAUCUGAUAGCUCAACUAUUAGGCUUUCGGGGGAUACUGCCAGACUUGGAACCGGGAGAGGUAAGAGGUACUACAGGGGUAGGAGUGAAAUCUUGUAAUCCCUGUGGGACCACCUGUGGCGAAGGCGUCUUACCAGAACGGGUUCGACGGUGAGGGACGAAAGCUGGGGGCACGAACCGGAUUAGAUACCCGGGUAGUCCCAGCCGUAAACGAUGCUCGCUAGGUGUCAGGCAUGGCGCGACCGUGUCUGGUGCCGCAGGGAAGCCGUGAAGCGAGCCACCUGGGAAGUACGGCCGCAAGGCUGAAACUUAAAGGAAUUGGCGGGGGAGCACAACAACGGGUGGAGCCUGCGGUUUAAUUGGAGUCAACGCC